Molecule: long non-coding RNA, 1339 nt
Filed under: Olea europaea subsp. europaea
Lineage: Eukaryota; Viridiplantae; Streptophyta; Magnoliopsida; Lamiales; Oleaceae
Source: RNAcentral
AUUUUAAAGAAUUUAAUCAACGCGUCGACAAUGUGUGUUGUCAGUACUUUUUUCGAAAAUCGCGUAUUGACAUGUCCGACACAACGUACUUGUCGUGUCGGUGCAUCAUAGGAUGCAAGCAUAUCCACAACACAACACAUUAGCCUCUGAUAAACACACUAACUACAAAAUAACUAAGGUGCUUAAUAUGAUAAGCUGGUAUGACAACUACCAUGGUUGAAAAUUACCUAUCAAAUCCUCUAACCUAAACCUUUUACCUUUUCUGGAUGACCGGCCAGUUUAAUAAACUUUGAGGGGAUGGGGUUGCCAAAAUCUACAGGGAGACAGGUGCUGGGGUAGGGGAUAAUUUGUUUAUUUUUAUUUUUUGAUUUCUUUUCUUUUCUUUCUAUUCCCAUUUUUAUUUAUUUUUAAUAAAAUUAACGAGUUUACCCUUUCUAUCUCUCACAACAAUACUCCACAUACCUUGCAUGUGACAUUUAAAUGGUGAAGCGGAUGAUUUCUGUCUGUUGGGGACCAAGGUGGACCUAUUUGCACAAAUUUAAAAGGUUGAGGGAUCUCCGCUGCAAUUUCCCCUUAAAUCGUUGGCACCUGACCUUUUCCUGUAGACGACGAUCGUGGUUAACACUGUUUAGUCAAGCAACAUUACAGGAUAAAUUUGGUAACGAAAUAAAGAAGGGUAAGGCAUAAGCAUGCCUUAUUGUUGUUCAUAUAUCUAAGGAGUUCAUCUAUUUGAUGAUGCGAUUCAAAUAUUGUUAUCUCCCUAAAUGGAUCCCCAGAAACAUGAGAUUGAAAUUUUAGGCUUUUUGUCUUAAAACUGAUAUGCCUUGGCAGUGCACUCCAUCAUGAGCUGGAUAUUGCAUCCCCAGCUUGGUUGGAGUGUUUUUGAUAUGGUAGGCUUCAUCUAUCACAAGAUGCUCUUUCCCGGGCUCAUGGAUUUUGUUCUUGAUUGCUUUGACAUUUGAUGACAUAAAAGAUUUGGUUAUCUUGUUUUGCCAUCAAUUUAGUUGGUAAUGAAUUGAUUGAUGUUUUAGAUCUAUAUCUCGAAUACCUUGAAUGAGAACUAUCCAGAAAAAGUUAAAAAUCAAACUAAAUUAUUUGUUUUACUUUGACAAAUGUUUGAAAAUGUUAAGGGUUUAUUUGUUAUUUUCUUUAUUUUCUUUCAAGGUAUCUAUUUAAUCCACCUUCUGCUAUAUUUGAAAUAUUCUCCUAUGGCAUGCAAUUGUGUUAAACUUUCACUGGCUGAUCUAUCUAUCUAUCUGUCUCCUCUCCUUUUCUGUAUCAGCAUGAGUUUGACAUAUAUUAUUUUAGGCAUUUUACAUUGCUUAAACUUCGAUUAUCG